UGACUACCUGUGGUGAUGUUUCUCCUAUCUGUAGGGUUGUUUUCAUGCAGUGAUGGUUGAAAUGACUAUUGAUUUAUUGUCACCAAGCCCAUCUGAACAUUACUAUUUGUCUGUAUUCCAAGAGUUGACAGAGAACCAAGUCAACAUUCAACAAGAGUUCUUGUCACUUUACCAACAGAAGUAAGGAAAUAUUCCUCAAGUUAUCAAGAUGUCUGUCUUGUGAUCAGCAGAAUUCAAAAAGAACUUGAAGCAAAUAAUCAACCAAGUAUUGAUUUGCAUGGUGUUAAAUCAACAGUAUGCCCACAGCAUACAAGUCUAAGCUAGUCAGGCACAGCUCCAAGGACCCGUACUUGAACUGUAACAUUCUUCCUGAAGAUGAGCCCCUUGGUUUAAGUGAGGAUGAAACAGCAGAUUCCAGUGAGGAUGAGUAUCUUUCAUCAGAUACCAAUGAUUCAAGCAUCUGAGGCUCGUCCAAAUCUGCUCAGUUCAAUAAUUGCAAUCUAUUUGACAUUUUACUCCAACAACAUAGUGACACAUGGUUAUAAUGGAAUAUAAUUACCUGGCAUGGUAAAGUUUCCUUUAUCAAUUUGCAAUCAUGUGUCUGCAUUAAAAAUGUUUUAGUUUUUA
Physella acuta is the source of this 627-nucleotide long non-coding RNA. RefSeq lists it as uncharacterized. NCBI's taxonomy places the organism in Eukaryota, Metazoa, Mollusca, Gastropoda, Physidae. The record is from RefSeq and is a predicted model, not a curated record.